AGAGAGCAUAUUUAAAUUCACACAGGACACCGGAUAAGACAAGAGAAAUACUCCAGAUGUAACAGACUGACCCUAGCCCCCCGACACAUAAACUACUGCAGCAUAAAUACUGGAGGCUGAGACAGGAGGGGUCAGGAGACACUGUGGCCCCAUCCGAUGAAACCCCCGGACAGGGCCAAACAGGCAGGAUAUAACCCCUCCCACUUUGCCAAAGCACAGCCCCCACACCACUGGAGGGAGUGUAAUUGAUUGCAUGCAAUUCACCUUUUCAUGUCUGAGCUCUCACAUGAGGAUCCCUUUAAGGACCACUCGGACUGUUCAUCAGAGACAAACCAACUGUCCUUUGGUGUGAGGUAGUAGGUUGUAUAGUUUUAGGGUCACACCCAAGCUGUCAGAUGACUAUACAACAUACUGUCUUUCCUGAAGUGGCUGUAAUAUCAUCACAGACUCUCCACAUGAAGAACCCUCGUCAAAAGCUGCAAUGAAAAUGUACCUUUCGUGCCUACGUUAUUACCAUUAUUACAAUAUUAUUACAUAAUUGUAUUAUUAUUCAUUUUAUAUUUGAACAGGAAAUGAGAUUUCACAUUUUCUGGUUGGACUCCAUCUCUAACCAACUGGUCAAUCGGAUUGUGACCGGUCGAUGGUUCAUGGUGUUCGCACAGGGUGAGGUAGUAGGUUGUGUGGUUUCAGGGUUGUUAUUUUGCCCCAUCAGGAGUUAACUGUACAACCUACUGCCUUCCCUGAAGGGCAGCAACACAACGCUACGAGCAUGGCCACAAUGGAGCUCACUGUCUACUGUGCUGUUUUUAAGUGGAGCGAAAAGUAAAGAAGGUAAGCUAUCUCAAAUCAUUGCCUUGGUACUUUUUAUUUAUCUUAAAUAGGCAAGUCAGUUAAGAACAAAUUCUUAUUUUCAAUGACAGCCUAGGAACAGUGGGUUAACUGCCUUGGUCAGGGGAAGAACAACAGAUUUUCACCUUGUCAGCUCAGGGAUUUGAUCUUGCAACCUUUUGGUUACUAGUCCAACGCUCUAACCACCUAGGCUACCUGCUACACAACAUGUGCUAAACAGAGUAUUGUAUUGGAAUUUGGAAAUAGGCCUAUUGUUUAUAUACCUUCAAUUUUGUAAUAAUGCGUACUGUACUAAAAGUCAUAAUAAAAAGUGAGUAGUCUUAGUCACAUGUGUGUCGACUCCUUUUGGUUGUCAAGAAAUGGAAGUAUAACGUUAUGCAUGUUCCUUGAAAUACUGUAUGUGGCCAUUUCUUAUCCUGGACAUGAAGACUGAAACAUCUGCUGGAAGGAUGGAUCAAUCAAUACAUAAAGAAGAAUACAUGUCAGGAUACAAAUAAAUGUUAAACAAGGCCAACAUUUUGUAACGUUGUGUUUGAAAUCUAUAACGUUUGUGUCCCCACUCUCUUCCCAGCCAGAUUCCAUGUCAUUUAUAGCUUGUAUGGUAAAUAAAAUAUGCACACAGCCAGCCCGGACAGCCAUUAGCCAGUGUAUAGGGCAGAUGCCCAUGUCACUGCUCCAGAAUUUAUGACUGUCAGCUGGCACAGGCACACACAGUCCCAGACCGACAGAAGGAAACACGGCCGCAGGGGGAAAUGAGGGUUUGAAGACUGCAUUUUCUAUACAAGGCCACACCAUCUCAAACAGCACCCUAUAACUGUUUUAACUGUGUUUAUUUAUUAAAUGUGAAUGAAGUGAGUUCACUGGGCGAUUUGUUCAUUGACAAUGUCAAUGAAUUGCAUAGUUGCAAGGCUAUUAAUUAGGUAACAACACCAGGUGGCGCCCUAGAUCAUUGUAUUUUCUGCAGCCAGGCAAGUUUUCCUUCCGUAAUGAUUUUACAGACCAAAUUAAAAUAUAUUUGUAGCCAUAUAUAGAAGUAAAUAUAGAAGUACAUUCAGCCAUUGCAGCCCAAAAGAGCCACCAUAAAGAUAUAGUCAGGAAGCAAACUGUGGGUGCAUUUUUGGAAUGACCAGACUAUACCAACAAGCAAUGGUUGAGAGAAAGUUAAAAAGUGGACAGUCACUUUAGCCUACUGUCUACUCCUGUUCACUUAUAGUAGGGUAGACUUGCCAUCGUGCAGAUGAUACAUUUAGUUUAUGUCCACAUCUCAGUGGUUUUCUGUAUCUUUUUCUUUAAAACUUAUUUUAAGAUUGACUGCCAGAGAUGACAGUGAAUGAUUUACAGUCUAAAAACAUGUUGGCCUAUUCAUGAAAUAUUUGGAAAUGUCAUACAGACACUUCACAUUCAUACGUACACUGACUCCUCUUUCAUUUGCUAUCAUGUGUUGUAUGUGGCUUGAUGGCUACUUGGCCUUCGUCUGUCAUUUGCUUUUAAAUUGAACAAGACAAAUUCCCUAUUGUAUUAUUUUCUAUUCAAUUGCAUUUUGGACAGGGUUUUGCAAUGCAUUUAGUAGUGGGUGAUGGAUACUUUCUGUUAUCUGGGGUUCAUGAAACUGUAGGAUAAAUGAAAAGCUUUGGCAUGUCUCUGUGGAGCUGGCCAGUGGGCAUUCUCAAAUCUCUAUUACGGUUUAACAAUAGGCUUUUAAUCAAAUGGAAAUCUCAACUGUGUGGAACAGGUGUCUCUCACUGAGACCUCUGAUUUCCUAUUCGCUGAAACCAUAGGUUUUGUCAGGAGGUGUGUGCUUCUCCGGGGCUGUAUUACUACAUCAUUUCCGAAAGGGAGUGUGACGGUUUUGACAGAGGGUACAGUAGUUUUGACCGAGUCAGUAGCGAACAACGCAGGCUUGUUUGUAUCAAAGGGACUAUAUGCACCUGCCCCCUCUGAUUUCACCUCUGACAGUCGUAUUCAGCACGCUUUGCAACCAUAUGGCGACUUUGGAUUGGACAGUCAUUGUUGAGGCCGGUGGUAGCUGGUCCACUGCAGGAUGCUGAGGUACAGGAGGUCUCUCCGCCCCCCCUGGACAUCAGGGGGGCCCCGGCGUACACAGUCCGGUCCAUCUUGGACUCCAGGCGCCGGGUAAGGGGCCUGCAGUACCUCGUGGACUGGGAGGGGUACGGUCCGAAGGAGAGGUGCUGGGUACCGGUGGAGGACAUCUUGGACCCAUCGCUGAUGCGGGAGUUCCACAGCCUCCAUCCGGAUCGCCCUGCGUCUCGCCCUCCGGGUCGUCCUCGAGGCCGGCGUCGGCGCGCUGCGGGAGCCACGCGUCGGGGGGGGUACUGUCACAACGUCGACUGAAGGUGGCGCCUCUCCCCGUUCGGGCGGCGCUCGGCAGUCGUCGUCGCCAGCCUACUAGCUGCCACAGAUCCUCUGUUAAUUUUCUUUUGGUUAGGUCUAGUUUAUAUUUGCACCUGUAUUGUGUUAGUUCAUUAGUGGGGGGGUUAUUUAGUCUUUCUGUUUAGGUUUGGGUUUCUGCAUGAUUGUUUUCGUCAGGUUUGUUAGGCUGGGGUUAAGUGUUUUUCCCUCUGCCUGUGUGUUAGUAAGGCUGCGAAUUUUGGGCUGCGCCCCUACUCUGUUUUCGGGCUCAUCCCGUUAUUUUGUAUUGUUUCCCUGCCUUACCUGUUUUUUGGCAGUUGUGGAUUGUGCAUAUUAAACGUGUGUUCACGGACA
Molecule: long non-coding RNA, 3573 nt
Organism: Salmo salar (Atlantic salmon)
Lineage: Eukaryota; Metazoa; Chordata; Actinopteri; Salmoniformes; Salmonidae
Source: RefSeq, a predicted model, not a curated record